GGCUUAACACAUGCAAGUCGAGGGGUAACAGGGAGUGCUUGCACUCUGCUGACGACCGGCGCACGGGUGCGUAACGCGUAUGCAAUCUACCUCUUACUGAGGGAUAGCCCAUGGAAACGUGGAUUAAUACCUCAUAGUAUUAUAGACUGGCCUCAGUUUAUGAUUAAAGGUUACGGUAAGAGAUGAGCAUGCGUCCUAUUAGCUAGAUGGUAAGGUAACGGCUUACCAUGGCUACGAUAGGUAGGGGUCCUGAGAGGGAGAUCCCCCACACUGGUACUGAGACACGGACCAGACUCCUACGGGAGGCAGCAG
This 312-nucleotide ribosomal RNA is filed under the name uncultured Cafeteria. RNAcentral describes it as "sp. partial Bacterial small subunit ribosomal RNA". It matches the Rfam family "Bacterial small subunit ribosomal RNA", at positions 46 to 354 of the family's 1533-position model. The record is from RNAcentral. Lineage: Eukaryota; Bigyra; Bicosoecida; Cafeteriaceae.